GUUGCCCAGCGGCGGAGCGAGUCCCCCGCGCCCCGAUCCUGACCCUCCCCCUCCCCGACGACCGAAAGCUGCAAGAAACGAAAGCAUCGGAUGUUACAAUCCCACAACAGAAACCAAGAAAUCCAACUCCGACAUCAAUGAAGAACCAAGAACCUGAACCGCGCGGGCAGAGAGAAAGAAUUUUGCGCUUUUCUUGGGUUGGGAGGGAACACGCACCUGGAUUGCCCACCGGCGGCUGGAGCACCGGAUUCGUCUGAGAGAAGCCGGAUGGGACACCAUCAACGGGCGAAGUCGCCGCCGUCACCCGUGGAAGCUCCUGCAAAGUCUCGUUGCCGCCUGAAGUCGCGGUGUCUUCCAGGGCUUCCUCACGCGCACGCCGCUGGCGCUUCACUGGCCCAUCAUUGCCGGCGACGGCCUUGCCCUUGUCCGCCAUCUCGCCUCUCGGUCGAACAGCUUCGCAAGAACCGCGGGCGCACCCGAGACGAAGAGGAGAGGGGGAGGGCGGAUGGAAGGAAGCUACGUAUCACGUAUGAGAAAGGAUGGGAGAGGAGGAAGGCGAGGCGAGGCGAGGCGAGGGGGGCUAUAUAGACGACGACGGGAGAGCGUCUCCCGUCCGCUGCAACCGAUUUCAGUUCCAGUU
This 640-nucleotide long non-coding RNA is filed under the name Hordeum vulgare. Its description in RNAcentral is "long non-coding RNA (HVUL_LNC014188)". The record is from RNAcentral. Lineage: Eukaryota; Viridiplantae; Streptophyta; Magnoliopsida; Poales; Poaceae.